RNAcentral lists this transfer-messenger RNA (351 nucleotides) under Pseudomonadota bacterium. It matches the Rfam family "transfer-messenger RNA". Rfam says of the family: Bacterial tmRNA, also known as 10Sa RNA or SsrA, is named for its dual tRNA and mRNA-like properties. Its role is to liberate the mRNA from a stalled ribosome. The record is from RNAcentral. Lineage: Bacteria; Pseudomonadati; Pseudomonadota.
GGGGGCGAAUUGGGUUCGACGUUUUUAUUGGAUUCCAAAGCGCAUGCCAAGAUUGUGGUAACUCUUGUAAAACAUACUACAAAAAAAAUUAGUUGCAGAAAACGACAACUACGCUUUAGCCGCUUAAUUGGCUAACCAAUGCAAGAAUUGUCUAUGGUUUGAAGCAUUGGCAAAAUACAUAGUCUAGUUUUGCUGUGGAGUCUUAACACAGUAACGCGAAACAUAAUUUAGACUAGCCUUUAAUACCCUGCUCUUCGGGUCAUUGAGGUAAAACAAAAAGAAUGAGCUAAGCAUGUAGAAGUCAGGUUGAAGAACUAACGGACGCGGGUUCAAUUCCCGCCGCCUCCACCA